This 468-nucleotide ribosomal RNA is filed under the name uncultured Rhodocyclaceae bacterium. RNAcentral's name for it is "bacterial SSU rRNA". It matches the Rfam family "Bacterial small subunit ribosomal RNA", at positions 336 to 796 of the family's 1533-position model. The record is from RNAcentral. Lineage: Bacteria; Pseudomonadati; Pseudomonadota; Betaproteobacteria; Rhodocyclales; Rhodocyclaceae.
UUCCUACGGGCGGCAGCAGUGGGGAAUUUUGGACAAUGGGCGCAAGCCUGAUCCAGCCAUGCCGCGUGAGUGAAGAAGGCCUUCGGGUUGUAAAGCUCUUUCGGACGGGAAGAAAUCGUGGUGGCGAAUACCUGCCAUGGAUGACGGUACCGUAAGAAGAAGCACCGGCUAACUACGUGCCAGCAGCCGCGGUAAUACGUAGGGUGCGAGCGUUAAUCGGAAUUACUGGGCGUAAAGCGUGCGCAGGCGGUUUUGUAAGACAGCUGUGAAAUCCCCGGGCUUAACCUGGGAACUGCGGUUGUGACUGCAAGGCUAGAGUAUGGCAGAGGGGGGUGGAAUUCCACGUGUAGCAGUGAAAUGCGUAGAGAUGUGGAGGAACACCGAUGGCGAAGGCAGCCCCCUGGGCCAAUACUGACGCUCAUGCACGAAAGCGUGGGGAGCAAACAGGAUUAGAUACCCCUGUAGUCA